UUUCAGGCUCUCUGUCCCAACGACGAUGGGCUCCAGCUCCAGCACCAUUGGCCCCAGAGGUGCAGCAGCUCUGAGGGGUACCUGGCCAAGGUCCUGCAGCAAGUUGAACCCAGGUCCCCUGAUUCAAGUUCCUGGACUCUUCCAGCUGCGCCCCAUCCAGCUCAGGGUCAAGUGUGGUGGGAGGGCAAGGGGUUGCACUCAGUCAAGGUCACAGCUCUCCAAGCCCUCAGCACAUUGUUAAAGAAAGCCAUUCUGAGUACCCUCAGAUCAGGGAAGUGCCCCUCUUCUCGGGGAAGAGAGUGGAGUAUGCAGCUGCCCCAGUUCUCAAGAGCAGCGCCCUUGAGCUGGGGGUUCAAGAGGAAUGCGACUCUGCAGCACCGUGUCCUGCCUGUCUGAGCACAGGGUUGAGGGUACUCCUGGGCUUGGUCCCAUUUAGUCCUCAAAUUGGACAAUGGAGACAGAUUAGUUUAUCCCUACUUUAAAGAUGAGGAAACUGAGGUUCAGAGAGCUGGCUGGCAGAGAUCUCACGGCUUGGAAGGGGCAGAAUAAGGACUGAGCCUAUGCUUCUGCCUCCACCCCGCUACCAGGCAGGAGUUAACAAUAACAAACCUACAAUAAAUAACACUGUUGUUCGUGUUGA
Long non-coding RNA from Capra hircus (goat), 640 nucleotides. RefSeq lists it as uncharacterized. The transcript is spliced from 2 exons. The record is from RefSeq and is a predicted model, not a curated record. Lineage: Eukaryota; Metazoa; Chordata; Mammalia; Artiodactyla; Bovidae.